Molecule: long non-coding RNA, 284 nt
Organism: Oncorhynchus keta (chum salmon)
Lineage: Eukaryota; Metazoa; Chordata; Actinopteri; Salmoniformes; Salmonidae
Exons: 2
Source: RefSeq, a predicted model, not a curated record
CCCAGAGGACCUGAGCCCCUGCUCGGGCUGGCGUUCCGACUGCAGCUAUGGUCUUCUGGCCUGAUAUCACCGGGCGUGCUACCUUAUCCUGGACCCCUGCUAGAGUCCUCACUGUCAGCCCUAGCUCAGCCAGGACCCUACUCAUGCUAUGUUGAACGAGCACCAUGGACGGAGAGGGAGGAAAACAGACAGCUACUCUCUACCACACAUUCACCAAGUCAUCCAAUGUUUGCAUCAUGAACAAUUUUAGCAUUUUCCAAAAUAAAUAUAUUAUACAUUUUGUU